This is a non-coding RNA of Picea glauca (white spruce), 121 nucleotides long. Lineage: Eukaryota; Viridiplantae; Streptophyta; Pinopsida; Pinales; Pinaceae. The record is from Rfam.
ACAUGCCUAUAGCAUAGCAUUAAUGCACCGGAUCCCAUUAGAACUUUGCAGUUAAGUGCACUUAGGCUAGAGAAGUACUGGGAUGGGUGACUGCCUGGGAAGUCCUAGUGUUUUACAUGCC